This 253-nucleotide ribosomal RNA is filed under the name uncultured bacterium. RNAcentral describes it as "partial 16S ribosomal RNA". It matches the Rfam family "Bacterial small subunit ribosomal RNA", at positions 524 to 776 of the family's 1533-position model. The record is from RNAcentral.
UACGUAGGCAGCAAGCGUUGUUCGGAGUUACUGGGCGUAAAGGGUGUGUAGGCGGUUCUUUAAGUUUGGUGUGAAAUCUCCCGGCUCAACUGGGAGGGUGCGCCGAAUACUGAGGGACUAGAGUACGGGAGAGGAAAGUGGAAUUCCUGGUGUAGCGGUGAAAUGCGUAGAUAUUGGGAGGAACACCAGUGGCGAAGGCGGCUCACUGGACCGGAACUGACGCUGAGGCGCGAAAGCGUGGGGAGCAAACGGG